Molecule: transfer RNA, 64 nt
Filed under: Hemisodorcus rubrofemoratus
Lineage: Eukaryota; Metazoa; Arthropoda; Insecta; Coleoptera; Lucanidae
Also listed under: 1 other name
Description: tRNA-Phe
Source: RNAcentral
ACUUAAAUAGCUCAAGCUAGAGCAAGAUAUUGAAGAUAUCUCGGUGAUAAAAAGUCUUUAAGUA